Molecule: long non-coding RNA, 707 nt
Organism: Temnothorax curvispinosus
Lineage: Eukaryota; Metazoa; Arthropoda; Insecta; Hymenoptera; Formicidae
Exons: 3
Source: RefSeq, a predicted model, not a curated record
GUUGGGGCCGGCUAUUCGGCGAUUACGCAAAAGUGUGAUAUAUCAAAUGUUAUCGAUCACGUUCUUUCGGAUGAUCUCGAUCUCGUUUUUCUCAACCGUCAACUUGACUGGCGUCGCGUCGCGUGGCUCCGGAGUGAAGUUGCCGUCGCGUCGUUUUCGGAGCACGGAUCUCGCGGCGACCGCGACGCGACGGUUGCUCCCGGCGAAACGGCGAGUGAAGUUGGCCGCGUGAUUUGCGAAAUUAUCUCCGCCAUGUUGUCGUCCACCUGCGGGACAUCCGUGGACGGGCCGCGAGCGUCAGGUGGAUCGUACAGUUUCGUUCGUAGCUUCUCCGCCGUGAUUCUCCCGUCACCGUGUAAAAAAGUACGCGUCGCGUCGCGAGAUUAAUACCGGGAGUGCCGUGCAAAUGUCGCGCGAUCAUAAGCGUCGUUAUUUUCGUGCCUGAACGAUAUUUUCGUGAGUGAGUGCGACGGACGGACGACCGAAAAGGGGAGGAGGAGGAGGAGGCCAGGGAGGCAUCGGGUAACGGCGGAGCGACAGUGGGAUCAACGCCAGGGUUUCAAACUCCGCUGCUGCGCAUCGGCCGGAUGCACACGCGAUUCCUUGAGAUCCUGGCCUCCCUUUCCCGAGGAGUCUCAGGUGAGCCCGAUCCCGGAAGCUGCGAAGGGAGAAUGGGCUGCGCGCGGUUGCGGGCGGCUCGUCGAUCA